CUCCUACGGGACGCAGCAGUGAGGAAUAUUGGUCAAUGGGCGCGAGCCUGAACCAGCCAAGUCGCGUGAGGGAUGACGGCCCUACGGGUUGUAAACCUCUUUUGUCGGGGAGCAAAUUCCGCCACGUGUGGCGGAGUCGAGAGUACCCGAAGAAAAAGCAUCGGCUAACUCCGUGCCAGCAGCCGCGGUAAUACGGAGGAUCCGAGCGUUAUCCGGAUUUAUUGGGUUUAAAGGGAGCGUAGGUGGAUUGUUAAGUCAGUUGUGAAAGUUUGCGGCUCAACCGUAAAAUUGCAGUUGAAACUGGC
RNAcentral lists this ribosomal RNA (305 nucleotides) under uncultured bacterium. RNAcentral describes it as "bacterial SSU rRNA". It matches the Rfam family "Bacterial small subunit ribosomal RNA", at positions 336 to 637 of the family's 1533-position model. The record is from RNAcentral.